This 896-nucleotide ribosomal RNA is filed under the name Listeria monocytogenes. RNAcentral describes it as "partial 23S ribosomal RNA". It matches the Rfam family "Bacterial large subunit ribosomal RNA", at positions 1549 to 2444 of the family's 2925-position model. The record is from RNAcentral. Lineage: Bacteria; Bacillati; Bacillota; Bacilli; Caryophanales; Listeriaceae.
GCGAAGCAUGAGCUGUGAUGGGGAAGGAAAUUAAGUACGGAAGUUCCUGAUUUCACGCUGUCAAGAAAAGCCUCUAGGAAGAGUAGUACUGCCCGUACCGCAAACCGACACAGGUAGAUGAGGAGAGAAUCCUAAGGUGAGCGAGAGAACUCUCGUUAAGGAACUCGGCAAAAUGACCCCGUAACUUCGGGAGAAGGGGUGCUCUAUUAGGGUGCAAGCCCGAGAGAGCCGCAGUGAAUAGGCCCAGGCGACUGUUUAGCAAAAACACAGGUCUCUGCAAAACCGUAAGGUGACGUAUAGGGGCUGACGCCUGCCCGGUGCUGGAAGGUUAAGAGGAGUGCUUAGCUUCGGCGAAGGUACGAAUUGAAGCCCCAGUAAACGGCGGCCGUAACUAUAACGGUCCUAAGGUAGCGAAAUUCCUUGUCGGGUAAGUUCCGACCCGCACGAAAGGCGCAACGAUCUGGGCACUGUCUCAACGAGAGACUCGGUGAAAUUAUAGUACCUGUGAAGAUGCAGGUUACCCGCGACAGGACGGAAAGACCCCGUGGAGCUUUACUGCAACCUGAUAUGGAAUGUUUGUACCGCUUGUACAGGAUAGGUAGGAGCCGAAGAGACGUGUGCGCUAGCAUACGAGGAGGCAAUGGUGGGAUACUACCCUGGCUGUAUGACCAUUCUAACCCGCCACGCUUAGCGCGUGGGGAGACAGUGUCAGGUGGGCAGUUUGACUGGGGCGGUCGCCUCCUAAAGAGUAACGGAGGCGCCCAAAGGUUCCCUCAGAAUGGAUGGAAAUCAUUCGCAGAGUGUAAAGGCACAAGGGAGCUUGACUGCGAGACUGACAAGUCGAGCAGGGACGAAAGUCGGGCUUAGUGAUCCGGUGGUUCCGCAUGGAAGGGCCA